GGUUAAGCGACUAAGCGUACACGGUGGAUGCCCUGGCAGUCAGAGGCGAUGAAGGACGUGCUAAUCUGCGAAAAGCGUCGGUAAGGUGAUAUGAACCGUUAUAACCGGCGAUGUCCGAAUGGGGAAACCCAGUGCAAUUCGUUGCACUAUCGUUAACUGAAUACAUAGGUUAACGAGGCGAACCGGGGGAACUGAAACAUCUAAGUACCCCGAGGAAAAGAAAUCAACCGAGAUUCCCCCAGUAGCGGCGAGCGAACGGGGAGCAGCCCAGAGUCUGAAUCAGCUUGUGUGUUAGUGGAACGGUCUGGAAAGUCCGACGGUACAGGGUGAUAGUCCCGUACACCAAAAUGCACAGGCUGUGAACUCGAAGAGUAGGGCGGGACACGUGGUAUCCUGUCUGAAUAUGGGGGGACCAUCCUCCAAGGCUAAAUACUCCUGACUGACCGAUAGUGAACCAGUACCGUGAGGGAAAGGCGAAAAGAACCCCGGCGAGGGGAGUGAAAAAGAACCUGAAACCGUGUACGUACAAGCAGUGGGAGCACCUUCGGGUGUGACUGCGUACCUUUUGUAUAAUGGGUCAGCGACUUAUAUUCUGUAGCAAGGUUAACCGUAUAGGGGAGCCGCAGGGAAACCGAGUCUUAACUGGGCGUUAAGUUGCAGGGUAUAGACCCGAAACCCGGUGAUCUAGCCAUGGGCAGGUUGAAGGUUGGGUAACACUAACUGGAGGACCGAACCGACUAAUGUUGAAAAAUUAGCGGAUGACUUGUGGCUGGGGGUGAAAGGCCAAUCAAACCGGGAGAUAGCUGGUUCUCCCCGAAAGCUAUUUAGGUAGCGCCUCGUGAAUUCAUCUUCGGGGGUAGAGCACUGUUUCGGCUAGGGGGUCAUCCCGACUUACCAACCCGAUGCAAACUACGAAUACCGAAGAAUGUUAUCACGGGAGACACACGGCGGGUGCUAACGUCCGUCGUGAAGAGGGAAACAACCCAGACCGCCAGCUAAGGUCCCAAAGUCAUGGUUAAGUGGGAAACGAUGUGGGAAGGCACAGACAGCCAGGAUGUUGGCUUAGAAGCAGCCAUCAUUUAAAGAAAGCGUAAUAGCUCACUGGUCGAGUCGGCCUGCGCGGAAGAUGUAACGGGGCUAAACCAUGCACCGAAGCUGCGGCAGCGACACUAUGUGUUGUUGGGUAGGGGAGCGUUCUGUAAGCCUGCGAAGGUGACCUGUGAGGGUUGCUGGAGGUAUCAGAAGUGCGAAUGCUGACAUAAGUAACGAUAAAGCGGGUGAAAAGCCCGCUCGCCGGAAGACCAAGGGUUCCUGUCCAACGUUAAUCGGGGCAGGGUGAGUCGACCCCUAAGGCGAGGCCGAAAGGCGUAGUCGAUGGGAAACAGGUUAAUAUUCCUGUACUUGGUGUUACUGCGAAGGGGGGACGGAGAAGGCUAUGUUAGCCGGGCGACGGUUGUCCCGGUUUAAGCAUGUAGGCUGAUUGUCCAGGCAAAUCCGGAUAAUCAAGGCUGAGGUGUGAUGACGAGGCACUACGGUGCUGAAGUAACAAAUGCCCUGCUUCCAGGAAAAGCCUCUAAGCAUCAGGUAACAUCAAAUCGUACCCCAAACCGACACAGGUGGUCAGGUAGAGAAUACCAAGGCGCUUGAGAGAACUCGGGUGAAGGAACUAGGCAAAAUGGUGCCGUAACUUCGGGAGAAGGCACGCUGGUGUGUAGGUGAAGCCCCUGCGGGUGGAGCUGAGACCAGUCGAAGAUACCAGCUGGCUGCAACUGUUUAUUAAAAACACAGCACUGUGCAAACACGAAAGUGGACGUAUACGGUGUGACGCCUGCCCGGUGCCGGAAGGUUAAUUGAUGGGGUUAUCCGUAAGGAGAAGCUCUUGAUCGAAGCCCCGGUAAACGGCGGCCGUAACUAUAACGGUCCUAAGGUAGCGAAAUUCCUUGUCGGGUAAGUUCCGACCUGCACGAAUGGCGUAAUGAUGGCCAGGCUGUCUCCACCCGAGACUCAGUGAAAUUGAACUCGCUGUGAAGAUGCAGUGUACCCGCGGCAAGACGGAAAGACCCCGUGAACCUUUACUAUAGCUUGACACUGAACAUUGAGCCUUGAUGUGUAGGAUAGGUGGGAGGCUUUGAAGCGUGGACGCCAGUCUGCGUGGAGCCAACCUUGAAAUACCACCCUUUAAUGUUUGAUGUUCUAACGUUGGCCCCUGACCGGGGUUGCGGACAGUGUCUGGUGGGUAGUUUGACUGGGGCGGUCUCCUCCCAAAGCGUAACGGAGGAGCACGAAGGUUAGCUAAUCCUGGUCGGACAUCAGGAGGUUAGUGCAAUGGCAUAAGCUAGCUUGACUGCGAGCGUGACGGCGCGAGCAGGUGCGAAAGCAGGUCAUAGUGAUCCGGUGGUUCUGAAUGGAAGGGCCAUCGCUCAACGGAUAAAAGGUACUCCGGGGAUAACAGGCUGAUACCGCCCAAGAGUUCAUAUCGACGGCGGUGUUUGGCACCUCGAUGUCGGCUCAUCACAUCCUGGGGCUGAAGUAGGUCCCAAGGGUAUGGCUGUUCGCCAUUUAAAGUGGUACGCGAGCUGGGUUUAGAACGUCGUGAGACAGUUCGGUCCCUAUCUGCCGUGGGCGCUGGAGAAUUGAGGGGGGCUGCUCCUAGUACGAGAGGACCGGAGUGGACGCAUCACUGGUGUUCGGGUUGUCAUGCCAAUGGCACUGCCCGGUAGCUAAAUGCGGAAGAGAUAAGUGCUGAAAGCAUCUAAGCACGAAACUUGCCCCGAGAUGAGUUCUCCCUGAGACUUUAAGUCUCCUGAAGGAACGUUGAAGACGACGACGUUGAUAGGCCGGGUGUGUAAGCGCAGCGAUGCGUUGAGCUAACCGGUACUAAUGAACCGUGAGGCUUAACCUU
RNAcentral lists this ribosomal RNA (2902 nucleotides) under Klebsiella pneumoniae. RNAcentral's name for it is "23S ribosomal RNA". It matches the Rfam family "Bacterial large subunit ribosomal RNA". The record is from RNAcentral. Lineage: Bacteria; Pseudomonadati; Pseudomonadota; Gammaproteobacteria; Enterobacterales; Enterobacteriaceae.